AAAAAAUAAAAAAUAAAUAAAAAUCUGCUGUUUGAAGAUGAAUGAUUCUCUGGUAAGAUUCAGGUGAGACUGGAUGGUUAGAUGGAGUCCUUGGACUCAGGUGACUUCAUUGGAGAGAAUGCUGGUGAAAAACAGUGGCCGAAGGUGGGCUCACAUGCCAGUGCGGCAUGUUGGGACUAGAGAAGAAGAUCAACGCGUUUUCUUCACAUGCUUCUUUUCCGGUGCUGGUCUUUUAGAUCUGGAUAAUCAGCACACAACUUUACUUCCUAGGUAGGUGGUGAGACUUGAAGCUUCACCAAAAAGUUUGGGCUAGCUUCAAGUGAUUGUUUCCCUUAGAAGCAGAGGGACCAAGAGAAGCAAAGAGAGGUCUUCUUGAGUUUGUGUUUUUAGACCUUGGUUUGGUGUUUAGGAAAGAGAAUUUUUAUAGAAUGGCUCAAUACCUAGGCUAUGAUUCGUGAAGAAAUAGAAUUUGGGAAAAAAAUUGCUUUUGGGACUCAAACCUAAAGCUGAAUUGAAAAAUAAGAAUACAGAAAAAAAUUAACUUGGGAUUAAAACCCACAACUUUGGGACUCA
Molecule: unclassified non-coding RNA, 573 nt
Filed under: Hevea brasiliensis (rubber tree)
Lineage: Eukaryota; Viridiplantae; Streptophyta; Magnoliopsida; Malpighiales; Euphorbiaceae
Source: RNAcentral